GAGCUGUCUGUCUUUUCCAUCUGGGGGGCACACUGAGCUGAGAAGGUCAGAGUCAUGUUCUACGGGCAGUACACAAACGCCCGACUUUGGAGGUCAGUAUGCAUAGGGUGGCCAGCCAUUCUCACAAGCUUUCUGCACAUGUCAUGCUAGGGGACAAAGCAGCAGGUGUGCUGUCUGGAGGUCUCCUCCUGGAAUGGUGGUUGCCUAGCAACAAGAU
This is a non-coding RNA of Oryctolagus cuniculus (rabbit), 217 nucleotides long. The record is from Rfam. Lineage: Eukaryota; Metazoa; Chordata; Mammalia; Lagomorpha; Leporidae.